GCUCAGAGGCCGAAAUUCUUAAAAAGCCCAAGAGGGGAAAAGCUCGAAGGCCUGGCCCAAUACGGGAACCUUCGCGGUUUCCUCUUCUACCAGUCUCUCGACUCUUCUCCUCGAAGAAACUUCUCCACUCUUCUUCUUCGGUCCUUCCAGUAGCGAAGCAACUUGCGAUCCAUGGCGCCGAUGGACCCGAGGACGGAGAGGGUAGUUCGACGGACUUCUAUGGUCGGCGCAGUCGUUGCCGCCUACCUCCUCCUCACCGCCGACUACGGCCCCAACUACACCAACCCGAUAAAGAAGGCCAAGGAAUCCUCACAACUAUCUUUGAAGGACCUUAUAUUCAAAUCUGGUAAGGAUGGACAUAGGAAGGGACAAGAAAAUUCAGAGUAGCAGAUUCGGAGACAGAAUGACUGAAGACCGUGAAUGAUGUUGGUAUCACGUCACUUUGUGUAUUUCUUCUGUGCGUAGAAAUAAAACUGUAGUAGCAAGUCAUAUUCUCUUUUGUGUUUCUUGUUACAUCAAGCACUAGUAUGAAUGUAUCAGCUAGUAGCCGAUUUACUUUGUUGUAUAGCUAGCUGUUACAUCAGACGUAUCAUAAUGUAAGUUCCAUCACUGCGUUCUAGGUAACCAUGUUCUUUA
Molecule: long non-coding RNA, 636 nt
Organism: Lolium perenne
Lineage: Eukaryota; Viridiplantae; Streptophyta; Magnoliopsida; Poales; Poaceae
Source: RefSeq, a predicted model, not a curated record